This 465-nucleotide ribosomal RNA is filed under the name uncultured bacterium. Its description in RNAcentral is "partial 16S ribosomal RNA". It matches the Rfam family "Bacterial small subunit ribosomal RNA", at positions 338 to 795 of the family's 1533-position model. The record is from RNAcentral.
CCUACGGGAGGCUGCAGUAGGGAAUCUUCCACAAUGGGCGAAAGCCUGAUGGAGCAACGCCGCGUGGGUGAAGAAGGUCUUCGGAUCGUAAAACUCUGUUGGUGGAGAAGAAAGCGCGUGAGAGUAACUGUUCACGUUUCGACGGUAUCUAACCAGAAAGCCACGGCUAACUCCGUGCCAGCAGCCGCGGUAAUACGUAGGUGGCAAGCGUUAUUCGGAUUUAUUGGGCGUAAAGGGAACGCAGGCGGUCUUUUAAGUCUGAUGUGAAAGCCCUCGGCUUAACCGGAGUAGUGCAUUGGAAACUGGGAGGCUUGAGUGCAGAAGAGGGGAGUGGAACUCCAGGUGUAGCGGUGAAAUGCGUAGAGAUAUGGAAGAACACCGGUGGCGAAGGCAGCUCUCUGGUCUGUAACUGACGCUGAGGUUCGAAAGCGUGGGUAGCAAACAGGAUUAGAUACCCUAGUAGUC